This 127-nucleotide small RNA is filed under the name Salmonella enterica. RNAcentral describes it as "RtT sRNA". It matches the Rfam family "RtT RNA". Rfam says of the family: This family represents a bacterial cis-regulatory element known as RtT RNA. The exact function of RtT is unknown although it is thought that it may be involved in changing the cellular response in relation to amino acid starvation. The record is from RNAcentral. Lineage: Bacteria; Pseudomonadati; Pseudomonadota; Gammaproteobacteria; Enterobacterales; Enterobacteriaceae.
UAUCUCUCUGUACAGGGAAGGAUGAGAAUCUUCGAUUAAGGUUCGACUCGAGCGGAAGCGAGAGAACGUUGCCGCAGGCAACGGCCCGAAGGGCGCGACGCGCCGAGUCAUCCUUCCCCCACCAUAA